Equus caballus (horse) is the source of this 3548-nucleotide long non-coding RNA. The record is from Ensembl. NCBI's taxonomy places the organism in Eukaryota, Metazoa, Chordata, Mammalia, Perissodactyla, Equidae.
AUUAUAUUUCUUUGAGACAGUGCUGCUUUGGCUAUUUAUGAAAAACAGAGUGAGGGAGAGCAAUGGAGGACGUGAGAAGACCAGUGAUGUCUACUGCCAGAACUUAGAAGUGAUAGACUAGUUAGGUUAGGGUGCUACCUUGGGAAGUGGAGAGAAGUAACUACAUCUGAGAUGUGGUUUUUGGUGUGAGGUCCCAUAGGACUUACUGUUGAGUCAAGGAUGAGUCCCACAUUUCUGACUUGAGCAACAGGUUAUAUGGUGGCGUAUUUACUGAGAUGAGUAAAACUAGGGGAGGAUUGGCUCGGCAGUAGCAAAGGAAUCCCAAACCCAGUUUUAAACAUAUUAAAUUUGAGAUAGCUAUGAGAUAUCCCAGUGGAGAUGCCAAGCUGGCAUUUAGUGAUCUGAGACUGGAGUUCAGAGAUAAAGUUUGAGCUAGACUAGAGAGAGAGCAUUUUGAGCUCUCAGCACAAGAGUAGUAAGUGGGGUUGAGAAGCUUGUGUAGAUAGAGAAGAGCCCUGGGUGGGUUAGUCGAUUCAUAUACCAUAAAGACUGUUAGAGUGUGGGUAGAAGACAAGGGGCCUGCAAAGGAGAGCAAAACGACAGAGACUUAAGGGGAAAACAAGGGGAUUGUGAUGUCAUUGAACCAAGAGAGUAGCCUGAAGAAAGAGAGUUCCCAGCUGAGAAAAAUGCUGCUGAGAGAUCAGGUGGAUACGCACAGAAGAGUAUUCAUCGGUUUAAGCAACAACCUCUUGAGGUCUUCUCCCAGGAACGGCUGCCCAGCAGGACCAGGCCCCCUUCAUGAGCUUGACAAGACCAAAGCAAAGGUGCAAGUAGAGAAAGAAAGGAAUGGCAGGAAGUUUUGAAGAAUGGAUCCUGAGACACUGUAUCUUCCAGUCGUUCCACAGUUGACAUCAGCCUAUGCUCCUUCACGAGAACAGAAUUAAGUGCUUGCUAUCUGAACAGGAGGCACAGCCUACAGAGUGAAGAUUGUACUCUUUUUGAAGUGCCCGAGGCCUACGGUAAUAGUCUCAGUUUACUAGAGUGCCUUUGGGAUCAAUAACUGAGGAAGAAAGGGGGAGGAAGCAGAAUGGAGUAGAAGGAGAAGUGGCGCUGCAAUGUAGGCCUGAUGACAGCCUCAUCCAACCCCACAGGGAGCCCUGGAACUAAAACGGCUCAUCAAGUGAUUCUGCGUUUGGCUGAAACAGCCAGAGUCCUUAUAUCCUCCUCGGUCAUGGGAUAUGGGCUGCCUUGGGAAGGACGUGACCUUGAGCAAGGGGGCUCUCUGAAGCCUGCAGCUGUCAGCCACAUUCCCAGCAGCUGGGACCACAAGUCACUCCUUGAACAGGGAGUCUGGGUGGCCUGUCGUCAUGUCCACCACAGUAGCUUUUGUGAAAGCCUGAUGAGGGAAGCUUCAGAUGCACAGAAGAUCAUGGGUCCUAGGCACCAGCGAGAAUGUGGCAGUGCUUGUACAAGGCAUAUCAUUCAUGGUGAGUGAGAGGGUAUAUGUGUGGUGGUUAAGAGCACAGACUACAGGGCCAGACAACCUGUUUGUAUCCUUGGUUCUGCACUUCCCAGCUGGGUGACCUUGGUCAGGUUGCUUGACCUCCCUGUGCUUCAGUUUCUUCCCAUGAAUUGGGGUCAUACUAGAAUCUGUCUCAUAGAGGUGUCAUAAGAAUUAAACGAAUUCAUGUAGAUAAAGUGCUUAGGAUAGUUUCAUGCCCAGAGCAAGCACUCUAUGUGUAACUGUUGGUAUAGAUAGACAUAGUUUGAUGAAGGCUCUGAGUAAAGAUAGGGGUUUUAGAACCUAUAGAAACAGUGGGAAACUGGAAGGAAGGUGAAGGAUUCCGAGAACUAGAUAUAAAACGAACAAUGAAAAUGACCAAGGAAGCACUAGAGGAUGAGAAAUGAGAGACACAGAGAAAAUAAUAAAAAUGACUCAGAAGAAAAGUGCCCAGGGGCUGGCCACGUGGCUCAGUGGUUAAGUUCGCGUGCUCUGCUUCAGUGGCCCGGGGUUUGCUGGUUGGGAUCCUGGGUGCAGACCUACAAACCCCUCAUCAAGCCAUGCUGUGGCGGCGUCCCACAGAGAAGAACCAGAAGGACUACAACUAGGAUACACAACUAUGUACUGGGGCCUUGGGGAGAAAAAAAGAAAAGAGGAAGAUUGGCAACAGAUGUUAGCUCAGAGCCAAUCUUCCUCACCCCCCCCCCCCCAAAAAACGUGUCCAAUUAAACAUUAAAAUCAAAUGGCAACAGGGGGCUGGCCCCGUGGCCGAGUGGUUAAGUUCGCGUGCCCCGCUGCAGGCGGCCCAGUGUUUCGUUGGUUCGAAUCCUGGGCGCGGACAUGGCACUGCUCAUCAGACCACACUGAGGCAGCGUCCCACAUGCCACAACUAGAAGGACCCACAACGAAGAAUAUACAACUAUGUACCGGGGGGCUUUGGGGAGAAAAAGGAAAAAAAAUAAAAUCUUAAAAAAAAAAUCAAAUGGCAACAAAUUAAAUGAUUUGAGAACAUUACUGCAGAGUUGGUUCUCUGAAUAUUCUGAAUAAGAUCUUACUGGUAGCAAAAUUGCUUCUGAUUCCCACUCCCUCUUCCUCUUUCCAGACAUCCUACUAUAUUUCACCUUCCUCCUACUCACUUUCAAGUCCUAACCCCUUACUGACUAAUUGCUAGAACUGUCACUGUAGGCAUGUUUCAGAUGCAACCUUAGUGCACUCUAUUAAUAGAACGUGAAUGUUGCCCUGAAGCAAGUCAAACAAAAGAUGAGACAAGAAGAUCAAUACACGAAAAAUGAGUAUAAGCACAUUAUCUCAUCAAGUGGUGGCUAAAAGCAAAGCGAAUGUGCUGUAGGAGAAAAUAUCAGUUUAAACCCAUGAGCAUAGUGUUGAGGAAACAGGCCCUCGCAGCCCCAUCAAGCGUCCCAGAGGAAAACCUGAAUUGCUGGGAGUGUAAUAGAACUGUCAAUAGCACACAGAAUCAGUGUCGAUUCUGGGACAGACUGAAGACUAUGACAGUGUUUAUAAAAAUCACAGACUUUUCAAGAUAGAACAUAAAAACAACACCACCACCUCCACAUACUGAACUGACGAUGAUCUUUAUUGUUCUGACUCAGUGAGCGUCCUGCCUCAAUUCCAUCAUGCGAGCUGGACCUCUCCCCCAAAAACAUUUCAGUCCUGCUGUGCUUAUGCUGAGGACUGGAGGAUUCCAUGGUGCUAGCCCCACCCAAACCUGUGAGGAGACAGUUCUCUUUGCUAAGUGUGGUGUGAGUUCUAGGCCAUUUAUUUGCAUUCUUAGCAUGUGUAUGCUUCUGCGCUGCAUUAGAUACUAGAUUUCUCUCCUGGCUUCCCAGCAUAAUAGAACAUCUUUGAAAAGUGGCUAAGCUCUUGAGAAAACUCAGAACCAAAGGAGAGGGGCCGGAAUGAUACCCAAGUUUACAGUCCCAUCUUUAGCUGCUAUGCCAACAGUGGAAGCAUUGUUCUCAUGCCUCCAUUGGCAGGAUCCAUUGUUCUCUGGUUACAACAGGAGUGAGAUAAACAGCAGCUGUGAGGC